AACGCAGAAGCCGAAAAGCGAAAAUAGAGUAGGCA
Molecule: non-coding RNA, 35 nt
Filed under: unclassified sequences
Description: DUF805b RNA
Rfam family: DUF805b RNA
About the family: Bacteroidetes, Chlorobi (1 example), Proteobacteria. Lineage (Flavobacteria)
Source: RNAcentral